AGAGUUUGAUCAUGGCUCAGAACGAACGCUGGCGGCACGCCUAACACAUGCAAGUCGAGCGCUACCUUCGGGUGGAGCGGCGGACGGGUUAGUAACGCGUGGGAACAUACCCUUCUCUAAGGAAUAGCCUCGGGAAACUGAGAGUAAUACCUUAUGCGCCCUUUGGGGGAAAGAUUUAUCGGAGAAGGAUUGGCCCGCGUUAGAUUAGAUAGUUGGUGGGGUAAUGGCCUACCAAGUCUACGAUCUAUAGCUGGUUUGAGAGGAUGAUCAGCAACACUGGGACUGAGACACGGCCCAGACUCCUACGGGAGGCAGCAGUGGGGAAUCUUAGACAAUGGGCGCAAGCCUGAUCUAGCGAUGCCGCGUGAGUGACGAAGGCCUUAGGGUCGUAAAGCUCUUUCACCAGGGAUGAUAAUGACAGUACCUGGAAAAGAAACCCCGGCUAACUCCGUGCCAGCAGCCGCGGUAAUACGGAGGGGGUUAGCGUUGUUCGGAAUUACUGGGCGUAAAGCGUACGUAGGCGGAUCAGAAAGUAUGGGGUGAAAUCCCGGGGCUCAACCCCGGAACUGCCUCAUAAACUCCUGGUCUUGAGUUCGAGAGAGGUAAGUGGAAUUCCGAGUGUAGAGGUGAAAUUCGUAGAUAUUCGGAGGAACACCAGUGGCGAAGGCGGCUUACUGGCUCGAUACUGACGCUGAGGUACGAAAGUGUGGGGAGCAAACAGGAUUAGAUACCCUGGUAGUCCACACCGUAAACGAUGAAUGCCAGUCGUCAGAGGGCUUGCCCUUUGGUGACACACCUAACGGAUUAAGCAUUCCGCCUGGGGAGUACGGUCGCAAGAUUAAAACUCAAGGGAUUGACGGGGGCCCGCACAAGCGGUGG
RNAcentral lists this ribosomal RNA (879 nucleotides) under uncultured bacterium. RNAcentral's name for it is "bacterial SSU rRNA". It matches the Rfam family "Bacterial small subunit ribosomal RNA", at positions 8 to 935 of the family's 1533-position model. The record is from RNAcentral.